This is a non-coding RNA of Rattus norvegicus (Norway rat), 69 nucleotides long. NCBI's taxonomy places the organism in Eukaryota, Metazoa, Chordata, Mammalia, Rodentia, Muridae. The record is from Rfam.
GGGGAUUUAGUUCAGUGGUAGAGCACUUGCCUAGCAAGCACAAGGCCCUGGGUUCGGUCCCCAGCUCCG